This 1932-nucleotide long non-coding RNA is filed under the name Homo sapiens (human). RNAcentral's name for it is "non-protein coding LINC00926:9". The record is from RNAcentral. Lineage: Eukaryota; Metazoa; Chordata; Mammalia; Primates; Hominidae.
UUUUGAGACAGAGUCUCGCUCUGUCACCCAGGCUGGAGUGCAGUGGCGUGAUCUCGGCUCAUUGCAACCUCCGCCUCCUGGGUUCAAGCAAUUCUCCUGCCUCAGCCUCCUGAGUAGCUGGGAUUACAGGCGCCCGCCACCACUCCCAGCUAAUUUUUGUAUUUUUAGUAGGGACGAGGUUUCACCAUGUUGGUCAGGCUGGUCUCAAACUCCUGACCUCGUGAUCUGCCCUCCUUGGCCUUCCAAAGUGCUGGGAUUACAGGCGUGAUGGAGAUGAUACUCCCUAAAUCACAAGGGUGUGGUGUGAAGAUGAAAUGGCUGCACGUGACAGAGGAGUUGGAGAACAGGAAGCAAGUGGAUUACUUGGAUGAACUGUGAUGGGCCCAAGAAGAACUAAGCCAAUCACUCCAGGGGGCGUUUUCCCAGGAUCCAGGCAGAGAGCUGAUUCCAGCAUCCACGUUGUAUCCCCCUCCCGCUGUGGCCGGGGUCUCCAAGAGCCGGGCACCCACUGCAGAGCUUCCAAGCCCAGGCCCAUUUGAACACAGGAGGACUUUUGAGGUUCAUUUAACCCCAAAAUCAGUGAUUCUACAUCUCAAGCUCAUAUUUUGAAGUGUUUACGGCCAGCCAAGCACACACGGAGUACAGCUGUCCCUUGCUAUUCAUGGCAGAUUGAUCCCAGACACUGCCACCCCCAGCCCUGUGAACACCAAAACCCAUGGAUGCUCAAGUCCUUGAUAUAAAAUGGUAUGGUAUUUGCACAUAACCUACACACAUCUUCCCAUAUACUUUAAAUCAUCACUAGAUUACUUAUAAUACCUAAUGCAAUGUAAAUGCUAUGUAAGUAGUUGCUACGCUGUAUUGCUUAGGGAAUAAUGACAAGAAAAAAAGGCUGUACAACUUCAGUACAAAUGCUAUCAUUCAUUUUUUUAUCUGAAUAUUAUGAUCCAUGAAUACAGAGGGCUGGCUGUAAAAAGAAUGUACAGUUUGGUACUUUACUCCUAGUUUAAGUCAUCUCUUUCGGCCCAUACAGGUUGCCUGGGGCAGGGCGGUGGUGAGUGUGUUGAGUCGGCCCUAUACCCUGUUCCACAAUGCCUGGUGUCCUUGGCACGUAGCUUGCAGGGCUGCUUCCAUGGAUGGCUGCCUCAUCCCCCACCCCUCCUUCAUGGCACCCUCUUUUCUCCAACUCCUUUUCCUCUGCUGAGUCCUACCUUUUCUUGCCAGACCAGGGAUUUGCCAAUUAUUCUGGAUGGGCACAGGGAAGGGGCCCUCAGAUCCUGCAGAGGGAGCAUCUGAAAGACAAUGAGACCCUGUACACAACCAAGCUGAGCCUCCUCGUUGGUGCAUGCAUGGAUCCAGGAAGAGCAGCUGCCUUUGUGAUCCCGCGCCCCGGUCCUCGGCCUCUCACCUCCAGCGCCGGGGCGCCCCCUGCUGUCGGAAGCGGCUGUGACCGGGCAGAGGUGCUAUCUGGGACUCUGGGUUCUCAGCCCGGGGACAGCGAACCGAGGGGCAGAUGAUCCAUCAGAAAAGAGCCGGCACUGCCCAGCCCCGCGCCCCUGCCCCUGCCUUUUUCCGGGAGCGCGCCGCGCCGCACCCGCUACGGCCGCUUGACCCCAUCUUUGAGCCCGGCCCCAAGCUCUGGGACCGUCGUGCCCCUCAUCAAGGAAGAGCCAAGGACCCCAAGGAGAAGAGAAAGGAGUUCAUGAAGGCAGAAAUGCCUGGGGCCCACGAACAUCCCAGUGUGGCCCUGGACGGGACAUCAUGCUGGGCAACACAGCUAAAAUGCGGGUGAAGACCAGAUUUCUUGCACAUGGCGGUGACGGGAUGCUCCCUAGAGAGCUUCAAGUGGAUUCUUUGCUUUUUAUUUUCUCUCUUAAUAAAAAUGUAUGAUGUUUACAUUGUCAGAGAACAAACAGAACUGUGGCUUGUGUUUCA